GAGACCGGCGCACGGGUGCGUAACGCGUAUGCAAUCUACCUUUUACAGGGGAAUAGCCCAGAGAAAUUUGGAUUAAUGCCCCAUAGUAUAUAAUAAUCGCAUGGUUUUUAUAUUAAAGUUCCAACGGUAAAAGAUGAGCAUGCGUCCCAUUAGUUAGUUGGUAAGGUAACGGCUUACCAAGACUAUGAUGGGUAGGGGUCCUGAGAGGGAGAUCCCCCACACUGGUACUGAGACACGGACCAGACUCCUACGGGAGGCAGCAGUGAGGAAUAUUGGACAAUGGGCGCAAGCCUGAUCCAGCCAUGCCGCGUGCAGGAAGACGCAUCUAUGGUGUGUAAACUGCUUUUGUACAGGAAGAAACACUCCCUCGUGAGGGAGCUUGACGGUACUGUAAGAAUAAGGAUCGGCUAACUCCGUGCCAGCAGCCGCGGUAAUACGGAGGAUCCAAGCGUUAUCCGGAAUCAUUGGGUUUAAAGGGUCCGUAGGCGGUUUAAUAAGUCAGUGGUGAAAGCCCAUCGCUCAACGAUGGAACGGCCAUUGAUACUGUUAGACUUGAAUUAUUAGGAAGUAACUAGAAUAUGUAGUGUAGCGGUGAAAUGCUUAGAUAUUACAUGGAAUACCAAUUGCGAAGGCAGGUUACUACUAAUGGAUUGACGCUGAUGGACGAAAGCGUGGGGAGCGAACAGGAUUAGAUACCCUGGUAGUCCACGCCGUAAACGAUGGAUACUAGCUGUUGGAAGCAAUUUCAGUGGCUAAGCGAAAGUGAUAAGUAUCCCACCUGGGGAGUACGUUCGCAAGAAUGAAACUCAAAGGAAUUGACGGGGGCCCGCACAAGCGGUGGAGCAUGUGG
Molecule: ribosomal RNA, 850 nt
Filed under: uncultured bacterium
Lineage: Bacteria
Description: bacterial SSU rRNA
Rfam family: Bacterial small subunit ribosomal RNA
Source: RNAcentral